CUUCACUGUACCACUCAUCUGCUUGUCUUUCUGCUUGUCAGAUAUCAACCUGGUGAAGUUAGAGCAUUCGGGAUGAUUGCUGGAGGCUCUGGCAUUACACUAAUGUUCCAAAUACUAACUUCUUGCUUCUACUCAAGCAAGGGAAUAUUGGUGUUCUGAAGAUUCUGAUAAUGGCGACAUCAAUUUGAACCGCAGUUGAUGUACAUCUAUCACACUGUUUUUAUUUUAUUUUUUGUACAUUCCACUGUACGUUCCAACUUGUUUGUAAUUCAAAUCUGGAAAACUUCUCUUGGUUCA
Molecule: long non-coding RNA, 297 nt
Organism: Gossypium raimondii (Peruvian cotton)
Lineage: Eukaryota; Viridiplantae; Streptophyta; Magnoliopsida; Malvales; Malvaceae
Exons: 2
Source: RefSeq, a predicted model, not a curated record